ACACACACACACACACACACACACACACACACACACACACACACACACACACACACACACACACACACACACACACACACACACACACACACACACACGUGUGGAACGUGAUGUUUUAAGUGAUAUGAUGUCUGUUUUGAUUUUACUGGCAGUGGCAUCGGUAGCAUCUGUGUUAGUCUGACGAUAAAUAGAGACACAGAGAGAAAAGAGUGACAAAGGUUGUCAAGCACUUAAUCUGACCACUAGUAUUUAUCCAUAGAGGAGAUAGUAUUUAUCCAUAUAGGAGAUAGUAUUUAUCCAUAUAGGAGAUAGUAGUUAUCCAUAGAGGAGAUAGUAGUUCUCCAUAGAGGAGAUGGUAGUUAUCCAUAGAGGAGAUGGUAGUUAUCCAUAGAGGAGAUAGUAGUUAUCCAUAGAGGAGAUAGUAGUUAUCCAUAGAGGAGAUAGUAGUUAUCCAUAGAGGAGAUAGUAUUUAUCCUUAGAGGAGAUAGUAUUUAUCCAUAGAGGUCUUAGAGGUCUUAGAAGUUAGCUAGGCUGCCAAAGUUAGAGAGCUAGACAGGCGCUCUACAGGCCGAGUCACACACAACACCACUCCCAUCCAGCUACGGGUGUCAGGGAACCACAGCGAGGCUAUCCAGUUCCUGCUCAUCAAGUCCCCCCUGGGAUUCUUCUGGCUCCAACGACACAAUCCAUUCAUCAACUGGUCUACUGGUGCCAUCAUGAGCUGGAGUCCGUUCUGCCACGCCCAUUUCCUGAAGUCAUGACAACCUGCCCCAGGACGUCUUCACGGGGGCUCGGAAGGUGCCUCGGAUCUCUCCACCAUUUCCAUGGAGUACCAGGACCUCCGGGAGGUGUUCAGCAAGGUCCGGGCCAUGUCGCUUCCGCCGCACCGACCCUAUGACUGCGGGAUUGACCUUCUCUCUAGCAUCACACUGCCCCGGGGACGUCUGUACUCUCUGUCGGGACCGGAAACCAAGGCUAUGGAUACCUACAUAUCACCUUAGCUGCUGGAUUUAUCCGUCCCUAUUCCUCUCCCGCCAGCACACGGUUCUUCUUCUUGGAGGAAAGGGAUAAGACCUUGUGCGCGUGCAUUGACCAAUGACGUUACAGUUAAGAACCGUUACCACGCUACCACUCAUCUCCUCGACCUUCGCGCCGCUCCAGAGUGCCACUGUGUUUUCCAAGCUGGAUCACAUUACCUUCCUCCUCUCCUGAAGCGACCAGGUUCGGGAGCCGGGAUAGGAUAGGUAGUCCGCCGUGACGUUCCUUUUUUCCUGCCUUGUGACGGACACAGAACCUGAAAGGUUGGAGCUCCAGAUACCACCUGGUCACACGAGAAUUCCGGUCCUUCAUGGUCUGGAUCCAGGUCAGGGCUCUGUGGUCCGUGUGCAGGUCAAAUUCCCUCCCAAGAAGUUAGUAACGGAGGCUAUCUAGGGCCCACUUUAUAGCCAGGCACUCCUUCUCGAUUGUUGAAUACCUGGUUUCCCUGGGCAACAGCUUUCGACUCAGGUACAGCACGGGAAGCUCUUCCCCUGGCUCCCCUUGGGCCAGUACAGCUCCAAUUCCCACAGCCGAAGUGUCCACCUGCACGAGAAAUCUCUUCAGCAAAUCCGGGGUCUGCAGAACAGGGAAUGAGCACAGUCGUUUUUUCAGCAUCAUGAAUGCUUCCUCACACUCCUCAGUCCACUUCACAGGGUUGCUGGCCACCUUUGAAGUGAGGUUGGUUAGAGGGACAGCGAUGGUCGAGAACUGCAGAAUGAAUCUCCGGUACCAACCUACCAGACCUAGGAAGGACUUCACCUGUGUCUUGGUUCUGGGUUGAGGGCUGUUCAUGAUGGACUCCACUCUGUCCAUCUGAGGCCGAACUUCACCUUUACCCAGCUAGUAACCCGGAAUGAAUCUCCGGUACCAACCUGCCAGACCUAGGAAGGACUUCACCUGUGUCUUGAUUCUGGGUUGAGGGCUGUUCAUGAUGGACUCCACUUUGUCCAUCUGAGGCCGAACUUCACCUUUACCCAGCUGGUAACCCAGGUACUUUUUGCCUCCUGUUUCGCCCAUUCACACUUCAGGAGGUUAACUUCAUUAGGGUAGGGGGCACUAUUUUCACCUCCUGAUUUAAUAUCCAGCACUUAUUUGUAUGACUUAUUCAAAACUGUCAAUGAACGGCUGCAAACAUACACAGCCUCACAUCAUUCAUUUUCAAAGUCACAAUUAGGCAUAUCAGAUUUAAAAUAUACAAUAACACUGGCAGAACUGGGAAGAACUUAAAAUCAGUGUGGAGAAUAACAGUAGUGUUUUUGCUGAGAAGCAAGGUAAUAACCCUAUAUUUUAGCCCAUUGUUAAUAAUGAGAAUUGUUCCACUGAUCAGACUAAGUAAAGUAAAUAGAUAAUAAAAUCUCCUGAAGACGAGAGAAUGUAAAUCUGCCCCUACACCCUAACCAAAUUAUUUUAUAUUCAUUGUCCGUCCUCUAGAAUCAAACUUACACUUUUUGGUUCCCAAUCUGUUUGACACAUUGUUUUUCAUAGAUACCACCCUACCAAACUUCCCUGCUAAAACAUACUGUAGGUCUGUCUGCUGCCUUUUCGUUGUCACAGCCGAAAUGCCAAACACCAAAACGAGGGGACUAAUGCAGGUGUAGAUUGAAUUGAUUUUAGUACAUGCUGUCAAAAGGCUGCAUUCUGCAUAGGGACGGGAGAAACAGCAACCUCAUUUUGUUGACAAGUUACAUUGUAUAUAUAACAGCACUACCAUGAUGCUGUUGUUUUUUUACACAGAUGAACACACACACUCAGAUGAUCACACACACACACACACACACACACACACACACACACACACACACACACAAAGAAGAAUGCUUCCUCUCGCAGUUCAGCUCCACUCUAAUCUAGAGGGGCGUUUCUUUAAAACACGCAUCCAAUCCCCUUGAUCCCUUACAUUACUAGACCAAUCAUACGCUUCAAUGUGUCGCGGUUCGCACUGCUGUCGCAAGACUGGAAAAUGAUUGGCUUGAAUCGAAUGAUAGACGGAAAGCAGGAGCAAAGCCUAUCCGUUUUACUGUCGUUUGAUGAAGUGUGUUUUCACAAUUGACAUAAAACUUGGGUAUGUGAGAUAUGAGGUGAGACUGUAUGUACAGAAGUCGCUGCAGUGUUACAAUUGUAAAAAGUUUGGUCAAGUGAAUGUCGAAGGAAUAACUAUGUCGUAGUUGAAGAGUCAGAUGAAGCAUGUUGUUGUAACUGUGAUGGGAAUCAUGUUCCCGAGUUCCCAGAAUGCCCUGUAAGGAUGAAGGGGGUCGCAGUAGCUAGGACCAGGGCUAUCCAGCAGGUCUCCUAUAUGGAGGCAGUUGACAUAGGAGUGAGCAGAGAGGAGAUGGUAGUGGAUGUCCCACAGUCUGCUGUGAAAACCACAUAGGAGAAGGAUCCCGACACACCAAUAUUGAAGAAGGUGGACUUUGUCGCUUUUAUAGCGCAAGUGAUAAAUUGCACUAGACAAACAAAUAAAAAAUAUAAGAAGCUAGACAUCACUGUGAAGGCGCAAAUAGAUUUCUGGAUCUCCAAGGCUUUACAGCCAAAAUGUUACAGGGAGUACUGAAUGAAGAGGUUCCCCCUCCCAGGUUCCUGAGCCUAUGUGGGGAUCUGAAUAGACAUUUAAAUCCAACUGAAGGAGAACAGUUUUUUAAAAUAAUUAAAUUCAGGGUAGUACCGUGAAUUUGGUUAAUAUCAAGCAGUACUGGAGCCCAAAGUCUAGGUUCAAGAGGCUUCUAAACAGCUUCUAACCCCAAGCCAUAAGACUCCUGAACAUCUAAUCAAAUGGCUACCCAGACAAUUUGCAUCCCCCCCCCUCUUCUACACUGCUGCUACUCUCUGUUAUUAUCAUCUAUGCAUAGUCACUUUAAUAACUCUGCCUACAUGUAUAUAUUACCUCAAUUACCUCGACUAACCGGUGCCCCCGCACAUUGACCCUGUACCGGUACCCCCUGUACAUAGCCUCCACAUUGACUCUGUACCGGUACCCCCUGUAUAUAGUCUCCACAUUGACUCUGUACCGGUACCCCCUGUAUAUAGUCUCCACAUUGACUCUGUACCGGUACCUCCUGUAUAUAGCCUCCACAUUGACUCUGUACAGGUACCCCCUGUAUAUAGUCUCCACAUUGACUCUGUACCGGUACCCCCUGUAUAUAGUCUCCACAUUGACUCUGUACCGGUACCCCCUGUAUAUAGUCUCCACAUUGACCCUGUACCGGUACCCCCUGUAUAUAGUCUCCACAUUGACCCUGUACCGGUACCCCCUGUAUAUAGUCUCCACAUUGACCCUGUACCGGUACCCCCCUGCAUAUAGUCUCGCUAUUAUUUUACUGCUGCUCUUUAAUUACUUGUUAUUUCUUAUUCUUAAUAUUUCUUAUUCUUAUUCUUAAUUACUUGUUAUUUCUUAUUCUUAUCAGUUUUUUUUAAAACUGCAUUGUUGGUUAGUUACUUCUCAGUAAGCAUUUCACUGUAAGGUCUACGCUAGUUGUAUUUUGUGCAUGUGACAAAUAAAAUUUGAUUUGAUUUUGUUUUGUUUAUGUAUUUCUAUAUAUUCUUUUGGAGGGGGGAUUAGUAUGAUUUUGUUUAUCAAGAACAUAUUUUGUUUUUGGGGUAUUUUUUACUAACCAGCAGGUGGUGGCAAUACACCUGAUGACUGUGGUCUGCCAAUAAACCUCAGAGAAGAUAGAUUAUUUGAUGUAUCUUGCUUCAAUAACAUGGACUAGCUGGCUGGCGCAUGUCGUAGGCCA
This is a long non-coding RNA of Oncorhynchus tshawytscha (Chinook salmon), 4769 nucleotides long. The record is from Ensembl. Lineage: Eukaryota; Metazoa; Chordata; Actinopteri; Salmoniformes; Salmonidae.